This 429-nucleotide ribosomal RNA is filed under the name uncultured Alphaproteobacteria bacterium. RNAcentral's name for it is "bacterial SSU rRNA". It matches the Rfam family "Bacterial small subunit ribosomal RNA", at positions 958 to 1385 of the family's 1533-position model. Lineage: Bacteria; Pseudomonadati; Pseudomonadota; Alphaproteobacteria. The record is from RNAcentral.
AACGCGAAGAACCUUACCAGCUCUUGACAUCCCUGGACGGUACUCAGAGAUGGGUACCUCCCCGCAAGGGGCCAGGAGACAGGUGCUGCAUGGCUGUCGUCAGCUCGUGUCGUGAGAUGUUGGGUUAAGUCCCGCAACGAGCGCAACCCUCAUCUUCAGUUGCCAUCAGGUCAAGCUGGGCACUCUGAAGAAACUGCCGGUGACAAGCCGGAGGAAGGCGGGGAUGACGUCAAGUCCUCAUGGCCUUUAUGGGCUGGGCUACACACGUGCUACAAUGGCGGUGACAAUGGGAUGCGAAGGGGCGACCCUUGGCCAAUCUCAAAAAGCCGUCUCAGUUCGGAUUGUUCUCUGCAACUCGAGAGCAUGAAGCUGGAAUCGCUAGUAAUCGCGGAUCAGCACGCCGCGGUGAAUACGUUCCCGGGCCUUGUA